This 1276-nucleotide ribosomal RNA is filed under the name Lacticaseibacillus casei. Its description in RNAcentral is "bacterial SSU rRNA". It matches the Rfam family "Bacterial small subunit ribosomal RNA", at positions 31 to 1258 of the family's 1533-position model. The record is from RNAcentral. Lineage: Bacteria; Bacillati; Bacillota; Bacilli; Lactobacillales; Lactobacillaceae.
GGGCAGUGGGGGCCUGCUAUACAUGCAGUCGAACGAGUUCUCGUUGAUGAUCGGUGCUUGCACCGAGAUUCAACAUGGAACGAGUGGCGGACGGGUGAGUAACACGUGGGUAACCUGCCCUUAAGUGGGGGAUAACAUUUGGAAACAGAUGCUAAUACCGCAUAGAUCCAAGAACCGCAUGGUUCUUGGCUGAAAGAUGGCGUAAGCUAUCGCUUUUGGAUGGACCCGCGGCGUAUUAGCUAGUUGGUGAGGUAAUGGCUCACCAAGGCGAUGAUACGUAGCCGAACUGAGAGGUUGAUCGGCCACAUUGGGACUGAGACACGGCCCAAACUCCUACGGGAGGCAGCAGUAGGGAAUCUUCCACAAUGGACGCAAGUCUGAUGGAGCAACGCCGCGUGAGUGAAGAAGGCUUUCGGGUCGUAAAACUCUGUUGUUGGAGAAGAAUGGUCGGCAGAGUAACUGUUGUCGGCGUGACGGUAUCCAACCAGAAAGCCACGGCUAACUACGUGCCAGCAGCCGCGGUAAUACGUAGGUGGCAAGCGUUAUCCGGAUUUAUUGGGCGUAAAGCGAGCGCAGGCGGUUUUUUAAGUCUGAUGUGAAAGCCCUCGGCUUAACCGAGGAAGCGCAUCGGAAACUGGGAAACUUGAGUGCAGAAGAGGACAGUGGAACUCCAUGUGUAGCGGUGAAAUGCGUAGAUAUAUGGAAGAACACCAGUGGCGAAGGCGGCUGUCUGGUCUGUAACUGACGCUGAGGCUCGAAAGCAUGGGUAGCGAACAGGAUUAGAUACCCUGGUAGUCCAUGCCGUAAACGAUGAAUGCUAGGUGUUGGGAGGGUUUCCGCCCUUCAGUGCCGCAGCUAACGCAUUAAGCAUUCCGCCUGGGGGAGUACGACCGCAAGGUUGAAACUCAAAGGAAUUGACGGGGGCCCGCACAAGCGGUGGAGCAUGUGGUUUAAUUCGAAGCAACGCGAAGAACCUUACCAGGUCUUGACAUCUUUUGAUCACCUGAGAGAUCAGGUUUCCCCUUCGGGGGCAAAAUGACAGGUGGGUGCAUGGGUUGUCGUCAGCUCCUGUCGUGAGAAGGUUGGGGUUAAGUCCCCCCACCAAGCGCCACCCCUUAUGACUAAUUUGCCACCAUUUAAUUUGGGCCCCCUAUUAAAAACUGCCCGUGGCAAACCCGAGGAAAGAGGGGGGAAUGAACGCCAAAACAUUCUUGGCCCCUUUUUAACCCGGGGGGCACAACACUGCUCCCAAAUGGAGGGGUGCACCCCAAAUUUC